GUGGGGAAUAUUGGACAAUGGGCGAAAGCCUGAUCCAGCCAUGCCGCGUGUGUGAAGAAGGUCUUCGGAUUGUAAAGCACUUUAAGUUGGGAGGAAGGGCAGUAAGUUAAUACCUUGCUGUUUUGACGUUACCGACAGAAUAAGCACCGGCUAACUUCGUGCCAGCAGUCGCGGUAAUACGAAGGGUGCAAGCGUUAAUCGGAAUUACUGGGCGUAAAGCGCGCGUAGGUGGUUUUGUAAGUUGGAGGUGAAAUCCCCGGGCUCAACCUGGGAACUGCCUCCAAAACUGCAUGACUAGAGUACGGUAGAGGGUAGUGGAAUUUCCUGUGUAGCGGUGAAAUGCGUAGAUAUAGGAAGGAACACCAGUGGCGAAGGCGACUACCUGGACUGAUACUGACACUGAGGUGCGAAAGCGUGGGGAGCAAACAGGAUUAGAAACCCGUGUAGUCC
RNAcentral lists this ribosomal RNA (450 nucleotides) under uncultured bacterium. RNAcentral describes it as "partial 16S ribosomal RNA". It matches the Rfam family "Bacterial small subunit ribosomal RNA", at positions 354 to 796 of the family's 1533-position model. The record is from RNAcentral.